This 587-nucleotide ribosomal RNA is filed under the name Nostoc sp. HG1. Its description in RNAcentral is "partial 23S ribosomal RNA". It matches the Rfam family "Bacterial large subunit ribosomal RNA", at positions 1810 to 2406 of the family's 2925-position model. Lineage: Bacteria; Bacillati; Cyanobacteriota; Cyanophyceae; Nostocales; Nostocaceae. The record is from RNAcentral.
AAAACACAGCUCUCUGCAAGUCGUAAGAGACGUAUAGGGAGUGACACCUGCCCGGUGCCGGAAGGUUAAGGAAGGAGGUUAGCCGUAAGGCGAAGCUUUCGGACCGAAGCCCCGGGUAAACGGCGGCCGUAACUAUAACGGUCCUAAGGUAGCGAAAUUCCUUGUCGGGUAAGUUCCGACCUGCACGAAUGGUGUAACGAUCUGGGCGCUGUCUCAGCUGUGAGCUCGGUGAAAUUGUAGUCUCGGUGAAGAUGCCGAGUACCCGCCACGGGACGGAAAGACCCCGUGCACCUUUACUAUAGGUUGACAUUGACGCUGGACAACACAUGUGUAGCAUAGGUGGGAGACGUUGAGCCAGGGCCGCUAGGUUUUGGGGAGUCGCCGUUGAAAUACCACCCUUGUGUUGUUUGGUGCCUAAUCUGGAAACGGAAACAGUGUCUGCUGGGUAGUUUGACUGGGGUGGUCGCCUCCAAAAGAGUAUCGGAGGCUUUCAAAGGUCUGCUCAAUCCGCUUGGUAACCGGAUGUAGAGCGCAAUAGCAGAAGCAGGCUUGACUGUGAGGCCUACAAGCCGAGCAGGGUCGAAAGA